Molecule: long non-coding RNA, 1254 nt
Organism: Solea senegalensis (Senegalese sole)
Lineage: Eukaryota; Metazoa; Chordata; Actinopteri; Pleuronectiformes; Soleidae
Exons: 3
Source: RefSeq, a predicted model, not a curated record
CCCUCACACCUGAGAGACCUGGACCUGAGUGAGAACCAGCUGCAGGAUUCAGCAUUGAAGCCUCUGUGUGAUCUUCAGAAGAGUCCAGACUACAGACUGGAGACUCUGGAGUCAUCCCUCAGUGUGUCACAGGGCGUUCUGAUCCAUUCAUACAGACCCACGGGGCGCCUGGAACCCUGAGCAGUGAAGCCUUGAUGGUAGGCUUUGCCCUGAUCUAAGAGAGAAGUGCGGCGUACGGGGACUGAGACUUUACGAUCCAUCCUCUCAUCAACAACUCCUGUGUGUACUUUUUUAUUUCCUGUACAGACGAAUGAGCCUCCUGAACAGGGAUAUCAUCCUUGACCCUGGUUUGCAUCUGUAGGGAUAACAUCCAAUGUCACUGUGGUCACAGGCAGACACUGCAGACUCUUCAUAAAGCAUUUCCUCAGUGACUUAGAUCAGCAGGUGGUCUCCACAGCUAACUGCAGCCUGUGCUGUCUCAACCUGUCGUGUCUCGUCGUGUUUUCCAUCUCAGUGACUUUGGCUGUUCUGAUUCUCUUUGGCUGACAUGUGACCACCUGCUGUCACUGAGGCUCUUUUAGACACUUUGCUGUUCUAGAACACUUCUUCAUUCUAGUGGUUUGUAUCGGACCACAGGUCCAGAGGUGUUGUAGCUCAGUGGUAGAGCCAGUCGUCUUUCAACGUAAGGGUUGGGGGUUCGAUUCCUGCUUCUGCCGUCUGUGCUGGCAGAUAGAAAAAUGUGCUGCACAUAGAUGUGCUGUAUGAAAGUGUGUGUGAUGGGGUUUGAGUGGUCAUCUAGACUAGAAGACUAGAAAACCCUUUACCUGCAGCACACAUGCAUCAUUGUUCCCACUCUGACAGUAGCUAUGCUGUAGCUUUGUGGCCUUUGGACUUGGAUGAGGUGUAUAAUAGCUUCAGCUUGUUCUUCUAAACCAAGAGCUUUGCAGAGCCCUUGCAGAGGAGGUUGACAACCAUGGCAGACACAUCAGCGUUGGACUUGUGUAUGAGAGUGGUUCUCUGUUUGCAGCAGACAGGUCAAGGCUCUCUCCUGGAUCAAGAAGCUCUCCAGGUGGUCGCACUGUGUAAUUGGGGAUGGACGUCUCUGUCUUCAGGACCAACACGGUCUCACUCCCAAGUCGUCCCAUGCGUGACGAUCGGGCAGUGUCCCCUCACGUCAGUUCUUAACGUACUGGGUACCCCUUUAGCGUCAAUUUUCAACGCUUGGGGUAGUCAGGUUGACUUCUAUAGAGCUCC